Molecule: RNA transcript, 1865 nt
Organism: Vigna angularis (adzuki bean)
Lineage: Eukaryota; Viridiplantae; Streptophyta; Magnoliopsida; Fabales; Fabaceae
Exons: 2
Source: RefSeq, a predicted model, not a curated record
UCAUACUCAUCCAUGUAGUCAAAAAAUAUAUAUUCAACCUUGUUUUCUGUUUUGGCAGGCGGUCUUGUAGCCUUGAAGCAGUUCCAUGCGCAAGAUGAUCGCCGGCUCAACACCUUCUGCUUGCAAACUGACCAGUUGCCAGUUUCGAUCGGGAAGCGCCCUGCACGGUGUACCGCCGUGGCGCUGAGCGUAGCAACGGGGUUGCUUGGUGCUUGUAAUCCCAGGACUGUGGUUAGGAUCAUUGCUUUGGUUUGGGUAAAUGAAGGACCUAGUUCGGUAAAUGAAUUUAUGUUCUUCGCUAUACUGCUUUCAAAUGGGGUCAUUGGUGAUAAUAGAUUUUAUUACAAACGGGGUCGAAGAAAUUUAUAUUUUUGCGAGGGAUUAUGAAGUGUUCUCAUUUUCAUCUUCUUCUGUUUGAUAGACAUUAUUGUUUUGAAAUUUGAAUCUAUAGGUUGGAGUAGCAGAAAUCAAAGUUGCAGUUGAAAAAACCGGUAGUCGUGUUGUCCUGUCUGAAAUAUUUGGUCAUUCCGUCUUAAAGGACUCUUUUAAGCGUGUUUUUUAGGAUGGGGAGUAUUGCUUCCCUGUCUCACCAUUUCAGUAUGAAUCAUAGUUGAUGCCGGGAAUUUUUUGUUGCGAGAUUUUGAAUUGCUAUGCUUUUACUUCUUUAUUCUUUAGCAUAAAAUCUAUAUGUACUGGUGUUUUAGUACCUACUGGUCAAGGGUUUAUUUAUUAUUUUAUUAGAACCUUGAUAUUAUUCCAACAUGUGUUGAUCCUAUUUAUUAUUUUAUUAGAACCUUGAUAUUAUUCCAACAUGUGUUGAUCCUAGGAGAACUAGUUGAAAUCCCUUAAUUAUGUGGCUUAAUUUGGUGUCUCUAUUAUGAGCUAUACUAAAGAAGAGAACUAUAAUUUGAGCUAUACUAAAUGAAGUGUUGGAGUUUUGGACCAUAAAUCGGAUUGAAACCAUUACUAUCACGCACUAAUUCUUCUACUAAGUCUCAAAAUACCGAAGCUAGAUAACUUAAUAGAAUGUAGAUUUCAGUUUGCACUUAUAUUAGUUGACAAAUGCGUCAUUGCUUUCUUCAAUUAGUCAUCUCAGAUAUUAUUUUAAAUUUAAGGAUUAAGUAGCAUAUUGUUGCAAAGAUUAUGACUGUAUACAGUGACAAAACAGGUGGCUAGUAUAAUCUUUCAAAUCCAACACAGGAUAUUGCAAAGAUUAUGACUGUAUACACUCACUUUUUUUUGGUGCAAAGUCAGAUUAUAGUUAUUCAUUAAAGGUGAUUUUUUUUGUUAUUCGUGUCUCUUAAUUUACAUAAUGAUGACAAGGAGUAAGAAGGAAAAUGAUUCUUCUGUUGUCACUGGCAUGAGAUUACUUUUUGAGUGGGAAUAGGUGAAGUGAAACUUUGAAUUUCGGUUAUUGUGUCUUCAAUCCUUAUUUUCCACACACCAAUUCAGCCUGUCAAUGCUCUUGAUGCAGCCAUUUCAAUUCUUGGUACCUUCCUCUAUUCAUAGGUACAUUUUCGUUUCUUUCAUUUCUGUUUGCUUACACAAUAUACUACCUAUCUGUUUGAGACUAAUUGAAAGUAAUGAUGAGGUAUUUUCUUAUCUCUCAGGAUUUAACCUCUUAUACUUAAUGUUCUUCGUUACGAACUUCUUAUGUCAAAAGUGAAUUUCAUUCAUGACUCAGAAUAUACACAAGUACUAACUGUUACUAUUUUCCAGUAUUUUAUACCCCGACAUGUGAUUUGGAUGAAAGACCAAUUUUUGUUUAUUUAUAUUAUAUUAUUCCUUGAUGAAAGUCUUUUCAAAUUAAGAAUAUUAAAUUACAUAUUUGCGCUACAGAUAAUAAGUUUGUGUUGAUUAUUUAA